RNAcentral lists this ribosomal RNA (492 nucleotides) under uncultured bacterium. RNAcentral's name for it is "partial 16S ribosomal RNA". It matches the Rfam family "Bacterial small subunit ribosomal RNA", at positions 29 to 507 of the family's 1533-position model. The record is from RNAcentral.
AGUGAACGCUGGCGGUAGGCCUAACACAUGCAAGUCGAACGGCAGCACAGUAAGAGCUUGCUCUUACGGGUGGCGAGUGGCGGACGGGUGAGGAAUACAUCGGAAUCUACUUUUUCGUGGGGGAUAACGUAGGGAAACUUACGCUAAUACCGCAUACGACCUACGGGUGAAAGCAGGGGAUCUUCGGACCUUGCGCGAUUGAAUGAGCCGAUGUCGGAUUAGCUAGUUGGCGGGGUAAAGGCCCACCAAGGCGACGAUCCGUAGCUGGUCUGAGAGGAUGAUCAGCGACACUGGAACUGAGACACGGUCCAGACUCCUACGGGAGGCAGCAGUGGGGAAUAUUGGACAAUGGGCGCAAGCCUGAUCCAGCCAUACCGCGUGGGUGAAGAAGGCCUUCGGGUUGUAAAGCCCUUUUGUUGGGAAAGAAAAGCAGCAGGUUAAUACCCCGCUGUUCUGACGGUACCCAAAGAAUGAGCACCGGCUAACUUCGUG